UUUAAAGAGAGUUUGAUCCUGGCUCAGGACGAACGCUGGCGGCGUGCCUAAUACAUGCAAGUCGAACGAACGGAGGAAGAGCUUGCUCUUCCAAAGUUAGUGGCGGACGGGUGAGUAACACGUGGGCAACCUGCCUGUAAGUUGGGGAUAACUCCGGGAAACCGGGGCUAAUACCGAAUGAUAAAGUGUGGCGCAUGCCACGCUUUUGAAAGAUGGUUUCGGCUAUCGCUUACAGAUGGGCCCGCGGUGCAUUAGCUAGUUGGUAGGGUAAUGGCCUACCAAGGCAACGAUGCAUAGCCGACCUGAGAGGGUGAUCGGCCACACUGGGACUGAGACACGGCCCAGACUCCUACGGGAGGCAGCAGUAGGGAAUCUUCCGCAAUGGACGAAAGUCUGACGGAGCAACGCCGCGUGUAUGAAGAAGGUUUUCGGAUCGUAAAGUACUGUUGUUAGAGAAGAACAAGGAUAAGAGUAACUGCUUGUCCCUUGACGGUAUCUAACCAGAAAGCCACGGCUAACUACGUGCCAGCAGCCGCGGUAAUACGUAGGUGGCAAGCGUUGUCCGGAUUUAUUGGGCGUAAAGCGCGCGCAGGCGGUCUUUUAAGUCUGAUGUGAAAGCCCCCGGCUUAACCGGGGAGGGUCAUUGGAAACUGGAAGACUGGAGUGCAGAAGAGGAGAGUGGAAUUCCACGUGUAGCGGUGAAAUGCGUAGAUAUGUGGAGGAACACCAGUGGCGAAGGCGACUCUCUGGUCUGUAACUGACGCUGAGGCGCGAAAGCGUGGGGAGCAAACAGGAUUAGAU
Molecule: ribosomal RNA, 801 nt
Filed under: Listeria monocytogenes
Lineage: Bacteria; Bacillati; Bacillota; Bacilli; Caryophanales; Listeriaceae
Description: bacterial SSU rRNA
Rfam family: Bacterial small subunit ribosomal RNA
Source: RNAcentral